Molecule: transfer RNA, 72 nt
Filed under: Ascosphaera apis ARSEF 7405
Lineage: Eukaryota; Fungi; Ascomycota; Eurotiomycetes; Onygenales; Ascosphaeraceae
Description: tRNA-Asp (GTC) (tRNA-Asp-GTC-3-1)
Rfam family: tRNA
About the family: Transfer RNA (tRNA) molecules are approximately 80 nucleotides in length. Their secondary structure includes four short double-helical elements and three loops (D, anti-codon, and T loops).
Source: RNAcentral
UCCGAGAUGGUCUAACGGUCAUGAUUUCCGCUUGUCACGCGGGAGACCGGGGUUCGACUCCCCGUUUCGGAG